CUCCGGGGAUAACAGGCUGAUACCGCCCAAGAGUUCAUAUCGACGGCGGUGUUUGGCACCUCGAUGUCGGCUCAUCACAUCCUGGGGCUGAAGUAGGUCCCAAGGGUAUGGCUGUUCGCCAUUUAAAGUGGUACGCGAGCUGGGUUUAGAACGUCGUGAGACAGUUCGGUCCCUAUCUGCCGUGGGCGCUGGAGAACUGAGGGGGGCUGCUCCUAGUACGAGAGGACCGGAGUGGACGCAUCACUGGUGUUCGGGUUGUCAUGCCAAUGGCACUGCCCGGUAGCUAAAUGCGGAAGAGAUAAGUGCUGAAAGCAUCUAAGCACGAAACUUGCCCCGAGAUGAGUUCUCCCUGACCCUUUAAGGGUCCUGAAGGAACGUUGAAGACGACGACGUUGAUAGGCCGGGUGUGUAAGCGCAGCGAUGCGUUGAGCUAACCGGUACUAAUGAACCGUGAGGCUUAACCUUACAACGCCGAAGGUGUUU
This 483-nucleotide ribosomal RNA is filed under the name Escherichia coli. RNAcentral's name for it is "bacterial LSU rRNA". It matches the Rfam family "Bacterial large subunit ribosomal RNA", at positions 2466 to 2925 of the family's 2925-position model. The record is from RNAcentral. Lineage: Bacteria; Pseudomonadati; Pseudomonadota; Gammaproteobacteria; Enterobacterales; Enterobacteriaceae.